Molecule: ribosomal RNA, 381 nt
Filed under: Candidatus Onthovivens merdipullorum
Lineage: Bacteria; Bacillati; Bacillota; Bacilli; Caryophanales
Description: partial 23S ribosomal RNA
Rfam family: Bacterial large subunit ribosomal RNA
Source: RNAcentral
CAUCCUGGAGGGGAAGUACCUUCCAAGGGUUUGGCUGUUCGCCAAUUAAAGUGGUACGCGAGCUGGGUUCAAAACGUCGUGAGGCAGUUUGGUCCCUAUCUGUCGUGGGCGUAGGAAAUUUGAACGGACUUGUCCUUAGUACGAGAGGACCGGGAUGAACAUGGCAACGGUAUAUCAGUUGUUUCGCCAGAAGCAUGGCUGAGUAGCUGCCCAUGGAAAGGAUAAACGCUGAAAGCAUCUAAGCGUGAAGCCUACCGUAAGAUGAGACUUCCCAUUCGGAAGAAGUAAGUGCCCUCGAAUGUUACGAGGUUGAUAGGAUGGAGAUGUAAGUGUUGUAAGGCAUUUAGUCGACCAUUACUAAUAGCACGAGGACUUAAUUUC